GAGGCAGCUGUAAACAUGAAGGUCUAGAAACGAGGCAGCUGUAAACAUGAAGGUCUAGAAACGAGGCAGCUGUUAACAUGAAGGAUUCUACUGUUGGAGUGUCCAGAGAGGAGACACACACACACACACACACACACACACACUGGUUUCUUCUCACACAGGUUGCUAAAAAUACUGUUGUUUUGGUUUGUGCACUGAAAGCCCCUGUCACUGAGGAAUGGACUGAACUGGGGGGUCGGCCGUGUAGCUGGAAGUCCCACAUCCUACAGAGAGAGUGUCUGUCAACUGAACUGUAAACUACACAUUCCAACCCUACACUACACUGGCAGCCUUGGGCUAACAAAGGACAGUUGGACUGUAGUGUGUAGUGUGUGUAUGUGUAGGGUGAGUAUAGUGUGUGUGUGUGUGUGUAGUGUGAGUAUAGUGUAGUGUGUGUGUGGUGUAUAAUGUAGUGUGUAGGGUGUAGUGUGUAGUGUAGUGUAGUGUGUAGGGUGUAGUGUAGUGUGUAGGGUGUAGGGUGUAGUGUAGUGUAGUGUGUAGGGUGUAGGGUGUAGGGUGUAGUGUAGUGUGUAGUGUGUAGUGUAGUGUAGUGUGUAGUGUAGUGUAUGUAGUGUAGUGUAGUGUAGUGUGUAGUGUGUAGUGUAGUGUGUAGUGUAGUGUAAUGUGUAGUGUAGUGUGUAGUGUAGUGUAGUGUAGUGUAGUGUGUAGGGUGUAGGGUGUAGUGUGUAGGGUGUAGGGUGUAGUGUAGUGUAGUGUGUAGUGUGUAGUGUAGUGUAGUGUGUAGUGUAGUGUGUAGUGUAGUGUAGUGUGUAGUGUAGUGUAGUGUGUAGUGUAGUGUAGUGUAGUGUAAUGUGUAGUGUAGUGUGUAGUGUGUAGUGUGUAGUGUAGUGUAAUGUGUAGUGUAGUGUGUAGUGUGUAGUGUGGUGGUGUGUUUUUAUCUGGAGAUAGUUAUGUCAAGUGGGACAGGAGAUUCAGUUGUAUUAGUUCCAUAUGAAUGUGUUUGGAGCGAUGGAAGGGAAGAGAACAGAGAAGAGGAGGGAAGAGAACAGAGAAGAGGAGGGAAGAGGAGGGAGAAGAGGAGGGAAGAGAAGAGAAGAGAAGAGAAGAGAAGAGAAGAGAAGAGAAGAGAAGAGAAGAGAAGAGAAGAGAAGAGGAGGGAAUAGAAGAGAAGAGGAGGGAAGAGAAGGGAGAAGAGGAGGGAAGAGAAGAGAAGAGAAGAGAAGAGAAGAGGAGGGAAGGGGAGGGAAGGGUGAGAAGAGGAGGGAAGGGGAGGGAAGGGUGAGAAGAGGAGGGAAGAGAAGGGAGAAGAGGAGGGAAGAGAAGGGAGAAGAGGAGGGAGAGAGAAGA
Long non-coding RNA from Oncorhynchus tshawytscha (Chinook salmon), 1347 nucleotides. The record is from Ensembl. NCBI's taxonomy places the organism in Eukaryota, Metazoa, Chordata, Actinopteri, Salmoniformes, Salmonidae.